AGAAAAAAGUGAAGUACGUCAAAUUAAAGGAUGUAGGAGAAGCCGAUGGAGAUGGGGAGUAAAGCCCGGAAUAAACACAGACCUGUAAAUUAUGCCCCGUUACCACUUUACUGUUUGGUUUUCAUUUCAGGAGAAGUCUUUACUGGAAAUGGAGAAGGAAAUAUGUCAGCAUUGCCAAAGCAUGUCAGCUCCUAGAAGAGGUUCAUGGGAAAUUCCUGCUAACCAGUAGCAUGGAGGGAUUAGCCAUUUGGCCUCUAAAACAGCAACUUCAUUUCAUCAAGUUCCUUGUGGUCUCUGAGGGAGAACAGGAAUGUACACCUCUUACAACUUCAUUGUGGCUCCCGGCUUUGCCAAGGAAGAAGGAAUAAUUCCUGGAAAGUGGUAGCUUUCCUGAUGUUUAACUUGCUUAGGAAGGAACAGUGGGGUACUGGAGAAACUAAUGUAAGGACCCUCGGGGAGAAACGAGUGUGUUUGCUGCAUUUUGAGUUCUCUUUCCCUUGCGAAUGGAAAGGACCGGCGUGGAGACGAGGCACUGGAAAUGGGGGUGGGGAAAUUUAUUGGGGCUGAAUUGGAUGUUGGCAGACUGAGGAGUUCUGAAAACUCAGUGAGGCCUGAUGCCCCCUCUUCACAGUCCUCGAACUUCCUUAGUGCAGGGAAACAUUGGACAUUACCUAUAAAACAGGGAUAGGACUAAAAAUGUUCUUACUCUAGACUGUAAGCUCACUGUGGAUGGGGAAUAUGUAGUAUUA
This is a long non-coding RNA of Ornithorhynchus anatinus (platypus), 749 nucleotides long. RefSeq lists it as uncharacterized. The record is from RefSeq and is a predicted model, not a curated record. NCBI's taxonomy places the organism in Eukaryota, Metazoa, Chordata, Mammalia, Monotremata, Ornithorhynchidae. The transcript has 3 exons.